AGGGUUUGAUCAUGGCUCAGAAUCAACGCUGGCGGCGUGCCUAACACAUGCAAGUCGAACGAGAAAAUCUCCUUCGGGGGAUGAGUAAAGUGGCGAACGGGUGAGUAACGCGUGGGUGACCUGCCCUUGGAAGGGGGAUAACACGAGGAAACUGGUGCUAAUACCGCAUAAGCCUGAUGUAAGAGAUUGCAUUAGGGAAAGUCCUUCGGGAUGUCCAAGGAGGGGCCCGCGUCCGAUUAGCUAGUUGGUGGAGUAAAGGUUUACCAAGGCGACAAUCGGUAACCGGUCUGAGAGGACGGACGGUCACACUGGGACUGAGACACGGCCCAGACUCCUACGGGAGGCAGCAGUGGGGAAUUUUGCGCAAUGGGGGAAACCCUGACGCAGCAACGCCGCGUGAAGGAAGAAGGCUUUCGAGUUGUAAACUUCUGUUUCGGGGGACGAACUUUGACGGUACCCCGGCAGCAAGCCCCGGCUAACUCCGUGCCAGCAGCCGCGGUAAUACGGGGGGGGCAAGCGUUGUUCGGAAUUACUGGGCGUAAAGGGCGCGUAGGCGGUCCGAGAAGUUUCGGGUGAAAGCCGGGGGCUCAACCCGGGAAGGUCCCGGAAAACCAUCGGACUUGAGUGCUGGAGAGGCAAGCGGAAUUUCUGAUGUAGCGGUGAAAUGCGUAGAUAUCAGAAGGAACAUCGGAGGCGAAGGCGGCUUGCUGGACAGCAACUGACGCUGAGGCGCGAAAGCCAGGGGAGCGAACGGGNAUUAGAUACCCCGGUAGUCCUGGCCGUAACGAUGGGNUACUUGG
Molecule: ribosomal RNA, 800 nt
Filed under: uncultured Acidobacterium sp.
Lineage: Bacteria; Pseudomonadati; Acidobacteriota; Terriglobia; Terriglobales; Acidobacteriaceae
Description: bacterial SSU rRNA
Rfam family: Bacterial small subunit ribosomal RNA
Source: RNAcentral